AAAGAAGUUGCCCGUGUUAUUUUCGCUUUUAUUUGUGACGAAACAAACAUGGUGCACUUCUU
This is a microRNA precursor of Cricetulus griseus (Chinese hamster), 62 nucleotides long. NCBI's taxonomy places the organism in Eukaryota, Metazoa, Chordata, Mammalia, Rodentia, Cricetidae. The record is from Ensembl.